UUGGAAACUGGAAGACUUGAGUGCAGAAGAGGACAGUGGAACUCCAUGUGUAGCGGUGAAAUGCGUAGAUAUAUGGAAGAACACCAGUGGCGAAGGCGGCUGUCUGGUCUGUAACUGACGCUGAGGCUCGAAAGCAUGGGUAGCGAACAGGAUUAGAUACCCUGGUAGUCCAUGCCGUAAACGAUGAAUGCUAAGUGUUGGAGGGUUUCCGCCCUUCAGUGCUGCAGCUAACGCAUUAAGCAUUCCGCCUGGGGAGUACGACCGCAAGGUUGAAACUCAAAAGAAUUGACGGGGGCCCGCACAAGCGG
This 308-nucleotide ribosomal RNA is filed under the name uncultured bacterium. Its description in RNAcentral is "bacterial SSU rRNA". It matches the Rfam family "Bacterial small subunit ribosomal RNA", at positions 626 to 932 of the family's 1533-position model. The record is from RNAcentral.